RNAcentral lists this ribosomal RNA (342 nucleotides) under Brucella abortus str. 2308 A. RNAcentral describes it as "bacterial SSU rRNA". It matches the Rfam family "Bacterial small subunit ribosomal RNA", at positions 1 to 373 of the family's 1533-position model. The record is from RNAcentral. Lineage: Bacteria; Pseudomonadati; Pseudomonadota; Alphaproteobacteria; Hyphomicrobiales; Brucellaceae.
CAACUUGAGAGUUUGAUCCUGGCUCAGAACGAACGCUGGCGGCAGGCUUAACACAUGCAAGUCGAGCGCCCCGCAAGGGGAGCGGCAGACGGGUGAGUAACGCGUGGGAACGUACCAUUUGCUACGGAAUAACUCAGGGAAACUUGUGCUAAUACCGUAUGUGCCCUUCGGGGGAAAGAUUUAUCGGCAAAUGAUCGGCCCGCGUUGGAUUAGCUAGUUGGUGGGGUAAAGGCUCACCAAGGCGACGAUCCAUAGCUGGUCUGAGAGGAUGAUCAGCCACACUGGGACUGAGACACGGCCCAGACUCCUACGGGAGGCAGCAGUGGGGAAUAUUGGACAAUG